Solanum dulcamara is the source of this 399-nucleotide long non-coding RNA. RefSeq lists it as uncharacterized. The record is from RefSeq and is a predicted model, not a curated record. The transcript has 3 exons. Lineage: Eukaryota; Viridiplantae; Streptophyta; Magnoliopsida; Solanales; Solanaceae.
ACUAAGUCAAGGGUGCUCUACAACAUGGUGUAGUUGUUUUGGAAGUUUGGAGAUUUUUUUUCAUUGAUUUGGAAGUGAAGAAGUUAGAAGAAAAAGAUUUUGGAGGAAACGAGAAUUGAAUUUGGAUAAUCGUAAAACGUCAAAAAGGUACCGACGUUCGUUGUGCUGAGCCGCCUGUUUAGGACAUCUGCGGUGGUAUUGACAGUGCUCCUUUGUUCGGAGCUUGUAUUUUGGUACUGACUCUAUCUCUGUAUAUUUGUAUAUAUUGGUCAGGGGUACGACGGGGCCCUGUCCUGUCUUAUGACUAUGUUAUCAUCUGUAGAGGUCUGUAGACAGAGUUAUGUCGUGGGUUUUGGAUGUAUGGUUUGGAUUUUUGUGUGUUUUGUGACAGCCUUUCAA